RNAcentral lists this ribosomal RNA (253 nucleotides) under uncultured bacterium. RNAcentral's name for it is "partial 16S ribosomal RNA". It matches the Rfam family "Bacterial small subunit ribosomal RNA", at positions 524 to 776 of the family's 1533-position model. The record is from RNAcentral.
UACGAAGGGGGCUAGCGUUGCUCGGAAUGACUGGGCGUAAAGGGCGCGUAGGCGGAUGGUACAGUCAGAUGUGAAAUUCCCGGGCUUAACCUGGGGGCUGCAUUUGAUACGUGCGAUCUGGAGUGAGGAAGAGGGUCGUGGAAUUCCCAGUGUAGAGGUGAAAUUCGUAGAUAUUGGGAAGAACACCGGUGGCGAAGGCGGCGACCUGGUCCUUUACUGACGCUGAGGCGCGAAAGCAUGGGGAGCGAACAGG